ACGAACGCUGGCGGCGUGCUUAACACAUGCAAGUCGAACGGAAAGGCCCUGCUUGCAGGGUACUCGAGUGGCGAACGGGUGAGUAACACGUGGGUGAUCUGCCCUGCACUUCGGGAUAAGCCUGGGAAACUGGGUCUAAUACCGGAUAGGAGCCAUUUUUCGUGUGAUGGUUUGAAAGUUUUUUCGGUGUAGGAUGAGCUCGCGGCCUAUCAGCUUGUUGGUGGGGUAAUGGCCUACCAAGGCGGCGACGGGUAGCCGGCCUGAGAGGGUGGACGGCCACAUUGGGACUGAGAUACGGCCCAGACUCCUACGGGAGGCAGCAGUGGGGAAUAUUGCACAAUGGGCGCAAGCCUGAUGCAGCGACGCCGCGUGGGGGAUGACGGCCUUCGGGUUGUAAACUCCUUUCGCUAGGGACGAAGCUUUUUGUGACGGUACCUAGAUAAGAAGCACCGGCUAACUACGUG
Molecule: ribosomal RNA, 464 nt
Filed under: uncultured bacterium
Lineage: Bacteria
Description: partial 16S ribosomal RNA
Rfam family: Bacterial small subunit ribosomal RNA
Source: RNAcentral